Molecule: ribosomal RNA, 104 nt
Filed under: Castor canadensis (American beaver)
Lineage: Eukaryota; Metazoa; Chordata; Mammalia; Rodentia; Castoridae
Source: RNAcentral
CCAUACCACCCUAAACACACCCAAUCUCAUCUGAUAUCAGAAGCUAAAUAGGGUCAAGCCUGGUUAGUACUUGGGUGGGCGAAAAAUACUUUUGAAGCCAGAUG